This 496-nucleotide ribosomal RNA is filed under the name uncultured bacterium. RNAcentral describes it as "partial 16S ribosomal RNA". It matches the Rfam family "Bacterial small subunit ribosomal RNA", at positions 28 to 506 of the family's 1533-position model. The record is from RNAcentral.
GAUGAACGCUGGCGGCGUGCCUAAUACAUGCAAGUCGAGCGAACAGACGAGGAGCUUGCUCCUCUGACGUUAGCGGCGGACGGGUGAGUAACACGUGGAUAACCUACCUAUAAGACUGGGAUAACUUCGGGAAACCGGAGCUAAUACCGGAUAAUAUAUUGAACCGCAUGGUUCAAUAGUGAAAGACGGUUUUGCUGUCACUUAUAGAUGGAUCCGCGCCGCAUUAGCUAGUUGGUAAGGUAACAGCUUACCAAGGCAACGAUGCGUAGCCGACCUGAGAGGGUGAUCGGCCACACUGGAACUGAGACAAGGUCCAGACUGCUACGGGAGGCAGCAGUAGGGAAUCUUCCGCAAUGGGCGAAAGCCUGACGGAGCAACGCCGCGUGAGUGAUGAAGGUCUUCGGAUCGUAAAACUCUGUUAUUAGGGAAGAACAAAUGUGUAAGUAACUAUGCACGUCUUGACGGUACCUAAUCAGAAAGCCACGGCUAACUACGU